AAGCCAUGAUGGGGACACUUGCUGAGGAGAUCCUCGAAUCUCUCAUGUGCCUCAAAGAGUGUCUCUUGAGUCCCUUGUCGGGAAUCGCAAAUCUCUUGUCUCAAUCU
This is a small nucleolar RNA of Dioscorea cayenensis subsp. rotundata (Guinea yam), 107 nucleotides long. NCBI's taxonomy places the organism in Eukaryota, Viridiplantae, Streptophyta, Magnoliopsida, Dioscoreales, Dioscoreaceae. The record is from RefSeq and is a predicted model, not a curated record.